This 204-nucleotide unclassified non-coding RNA is filed under the name soil metagenome. RNAcentral describes it as "partial contains 5.8S ribosomal RNA, internal transcribed spacer 2, and large subunit ribosomal RNA". The record is from RNAcentral.
AACCAUUCUCACCUGCGGCUAGACCUGCGGAAGGAUCAUUACAGAGAUUGAUGCACCAAGUGCAUCACCUCCAACCCCUUGCGAAAACAACUAUCAUGUGUUGCUUUGGCAGUGUUUCCACUGCCAGAGGUUUACAUAAAAUCAGCUGUUGGAUGUUGUCUGAGUAAACUAUAUGAAUUAUUUAAAACUUUCAACAAUGGAUCU